UACGGAGGGCGCAAGCGUUAAUCGGAAUUACUGGGCGUAAAGCGUGCGCAGGCGGUUUGGUAAGUCCGCUGUGAAAUCCCCGAGCUCAACUUGGGAAUUGCAGUGGAUACUGGCAAGCUGGAGUAUGGUAGAGGAAGGUGGAAUUCCCGGUGUAGCAGUGAAAUGCGUAGAGAUCGGGAGGAACACCAGUGGCGAAGGCGGCCUUCUGGACCAAUACUGACGCUCAUGCACGAAAGCUAGGGGAGCAAACAGG
Molecule: ribosomal RNA, 253 nt
Filed under: uncultured bacterium
Lineage: Bacteria
Description: partial 16S ribosomal RNA
Rfam family: Bacterial small subunit ribosomal RNA
Source: RNAcentral